Molecule: long non-coding RNA, 723 nt
Filed under: Danio rerio (zebrafish)
Lineage: Eukaryota; Metazoa; Chordata; Actinopteri; Cypriniformes; Danionidae
Description: lncRNA (ENSDARG00000117710.1)
Source: RNAcentral
GCAUUUGUGAUCAGCUUUACAGUAAAGAACAAAACUCUAUUAAGUUUAAAAUGUGUGCGAUCAUUCACACAGCUUAAAGAAGAGGCUGUAAACAAAGCAGGAGAGAUGGAGCAAAGGCUGAGCAGCUCCAUCCAAAAUCAAGCAGAGCUAGAAGAGCAGCUCAGUGAGUCUCGCAGCCGGCUGGGACAAAUGGAGCUGGUAUGAACACAAAACUCUCAAAGUUUUCAUUAUGACAUUCAACACCUCCAAAUCAACCAUUAUCUACCACAUCCUCAGGAAAAAGACCUGUUUUCUGCUAAGAUGCGGAGACUAGAAGACAAUCUGAAUGACGUGAAGGUCAAACUGUCUGGAGCUUUAAUGGACAAAGACCGUCUACUCCAGGAGAAAGCAGAGCUGUGUCAGAAGGUCCAGAGUUUGGGUCUGCAGUUGCAGAGAGAGCAGAGGAGCAAACAGGACUUCAGUGAACAGAUGUCGGAUCUUCAUUCUGAGCUUUCACAAGCUAAGAGCCAAAGCAGCAAACAGAAGAUGGACACAAUGCAGAUGAAAGAGGAGCUGCUUUCAGUUAAAGAGGUCAGAGGUCACCCUUUAUACCUAUUUAUACCCUUUACCAGAUAUACCAGAUAUAUACUACUAGCCAAACGUUUGGAAAGUCUCCAUUUAUUUGAUUAAAAACUGGAAACAAUGAAAACUGUUUUACUGUACUGUGACUUUUAUUUAGUUAAA